This 254-nucleotide unclassified non-coding RNA is filed under the name Itersonilia sp. RNAcentral describes it as "partial contains 5.8S ribosomal RNA, internal transcribed spacer 2, and large subunit ribosomal RNA". The stretch from base 1 to 52 matches the Rfam family "5.8S ribosomal RNA", at positions 103 to 154 of the family's 154-position model. RNAcentral also lists the same sequence under 1 other name. The record is from RNAcentral. Lineage: Eukaryota; Fungi; Basidiomycota; Tremellomycetes; Cystofilobasidiales; Mrakiaceae.
AACGCACAUUGCGCCCCCUGGUAUUCCGGGGGGCAUGCCUGUUCGAGCGUCAUUACACCAAUCAAGCAUCGCUUGGUAUUAGGCCCUCGCCCCCGCCUCGCGGGGGCGUGCCUCAAACACCUCGGCGGAGCCACACCGGCUUUGGGCGUAGUAGAAUUUUCGAACGCCCGUGGGACGGUGAGGGUCUUGCCGCGCAAGCAAACAAUAUUUUAAAGGUUGACCUCGGAUCAGGUAGGGAUACCCGCUGAACUUAA